Molecule: long non-coding RNA, 900 nt
Filed under: Coturnix japonica (Japanese quail)
Lineage: Eukaryota; Metazoa; Chordata; Aves; Galliformes; Phasianidae
Description: lncRNA (ENSCJPG00005013405.1)
Source: RNAcentral
CUGAUGAUAGCUAUUUUUUGCUAAAUAUCAGUGCUCCCAUUGCAACUUUUUUUUUGUUGUUUUUGCCCUUCAACAAAUAUACUGACAAAACUAAUGGUCAGAGAAGUAUCAGGAAAAUGUAUGUGACAUUAGCAAACAUGAACAGGUUUUGUUUUUUUACUGAACUUCAGGCUCUAAAUACCACAAGGGUGAUGAUUUUGCCUCUUCUCAAAUACAGUGUGUCCCCACAGCUGCACGCUUGAUGUCAGAAUGACUGCUAUGUGUUGGUGAACACCUAAGCAGGGUCAUAAGUGGAACAGGUGCCUCUGAUUUACACUGAAGUCUGAGCUGACCCUGGAGGUUUGUAGUCAUCCUUGUUUUCCUUCUCCUGUGGUGUCAUACAGCCAACCAAGGGCCAAUCCACUGAACUUCCAAGUCACAGCACAUCUCUGCACAUCAUAGCCAGAGUAGCAGUCCAACACAAAUGGGACCUCACUUUCCCCAAUAACAGGGUAAGUAAUCAUGACAGAGGGUCACACUCUCCUUCACAACUUGUUGGCAUUGAUUCCAUACUCUUCUGUUUGUCUCAUGUGCUAGUGUACACAGUCCACUUUUAUUUAAUUGCCUGUUUGUCCUAGGAUCUCCUUUUUUAUCGCAUUUCCUGAAACAUCUCUGUGCCUUGUGCCUCAGUAGUCACAACACUGUCUUCAGCUCCCCACAGUGACCUUGGCAUGUCCUUACUGUUGCUGCGGUGGCUGCACAAGUGAUGGAUAUUAACAGGUCAGACUGUGUGAAGGAUUUGGGAGACAGAGUCUAUUCUUAUCUCUGUCACUUGGCUUAGUGGGUCACCUUGGAGGAGUACCUUCCCUGUUAAGUCUCCUCGUAUGUAGGAAGAGAUAUUUAAUAUUUCUGGAAGAAAAG